This 736-nucleotide ribosomal RNA is filed under the name uncultured Fusobacterium sp. RNAcentral describes it as "bacterial SSU rRNA". It matches the Rfam family "Bacterial small subunit ribosomal RNA", at positions 28 to 776 of the family's 1533-position model. Lineage: Bacteria; Fusobacteriati; Fusobacteriota; Fusobacteriia; Fusobacteriales; Fusobacteriaceae. The record is from RNAcentral.
GAUGAACGCUGACAGAAUGCUUAACACAUGCAAGUCAACUUGAAUUUGGGUUUUUAACUUAGAUUUGGGUGGCGGACGGGCGAGUAACGCGUAAAGAACUUGCCUCACAGCUAGGGACAACAUUUAGAAAUGAAUGCUAAUACCUGAUAUUAUGAUUUUAAGGCAUCUUAGAAUUAUGAAAGCUAUAAGCACUGUGAGAGAGCUUUGCGUCCCAUUAGCUAGUUGGAGAGGUAACAGCUCACCAAGGCGAUGAUGGGUAGCCGGCCUGAGAGGGUGAACGGCCACACCCCCGACUGAGACACGGCCCUUACUCCUACGGGAGGCAGCAGUGGGGAAUAUUGGACAAUGGACCGAGAGUCUGAUCCAGCAAUUCUGUGUGCACGAUGAAGUUUUUCGGAAUGUAAAGUGCUUUCAGUUGGGAAGAAAUAAAUGACGGUACCAACAGAAGAAGUGACGGCUAAAUACGUGCCAGCAGCCGCGGUAAUACGUAUGUCACGAGCGUUAUCCGGAUUUAUUGGGCGUAAAGCGCGUCUAGGUGGUUAUGUAAGUCUGAUGUGAAAAUGCAGGGCUCAACUCUGUAUUGCGUUGGAAACUGUAUAACUAGAGUACUGGAGAGGUAAGCGGAACUACAAGUGUAGAGGUGAAAUUCGUAGAUAUUUGUAGGAAUGCCGAUGGGGAAGCCAGCUUACUGGACAGAUACUGACGCUAAAGCGCGAAAGCGUGGGUAGCAAACAGG